RNAcentral lists this ribosomal RNA (274 nucleotides) under uncultured bacterium. RNAcentral describes it as "partial 16S ribosomal RNA". It matches the Rfam family "Bacterial small subunit ribosomal RNA", at positions 523 to 796 of the family's 1533-position model. The record is from RNAcentral.
AUACGGAGGGUGCGGGCGUUAAUCGGAAUUACUGGGCGUAAAGCGUACGUAGGCGGUUUGCUAAGUCAGAUGUGAAAGCCCCGGGCUUAACCUGGGAACUGCAUUUGAUACUGGCAGACUAGAGUAUGAUAGAGGGGGGUAGAAUUCCUGGUGUAGCGGUGAAAUGCGUAGAUAUCAGGAGGAAUACCAGUGGCGAAGGCGGCCCCCUGGAUCAAUACUGACGCUGAGGUACGAAAGCGUGGGGAGCGAACAGGAUUAGAAACCCUAGUAGUCC